CCCCCGGUGCGUGGCCCCGUGCCCCCCACAAGAGAACAGUGCGAGUGCGUCCCACUGCCCGCCCGGAGGGUCGCCAACAGGGAUAACAGAACAUCUUUCUAUGAGAGGCUUGCAUAGCUGUUUAUCAUAUCCCUGAGGGCUUGGACUGGUUGCCAGCGAUAAAUCAAUGUGGCCACAUUUGCUGAGGGAGGAGUGGAACCGGCACAAACGCUUGCUGGGGACUGCAGCAGCGGGAUGGGUGCGGAAAGGCUCAAGCCCCGUAAGCUAGCUCUCUCUCUUGACACCCCGGGUCCUGGAGCAAGACUGUUAAUUGUCGCUGUUUGUAAUGCUGAUAAUAGUCGGGAAGUUUUCUGGAGGAGCUGUGGGGGCUUCAGACUGCUUGGUUUUCCCUCACUUGCUCCUGAGCUGGUGCGAAGAUGGUCAAACCGCCAAAUUAUUAUGGGUGUCGUUAGGAGAUGCUAUUAUGAGUUUCCCCUUAGAUAGACUAAGGUGAAACUUAGCAUUUACAACAUGCACCAGAGCUUAAAAGGGUGUGAAAUAAAGCUGGAGCCUGAGACGACCUCCUGACUGUGAAUAAACUUUUGGUAGAAAAUGAGACAAAACAGAAUUUCGCAAUGUAGUAUGAUUCCCUAAGAUGAGCAGAAAUCUCAGCCGUGUACUCAUUAAGGGAAAGAAAAAGAACAGAUCUGCCUGUUCUCUCGGGAACAAAUACGCUGUGGAAUUUGUCAUUAAAUCAAAAUAAACGUUACUAAGCUAUCUAUCAACUGAAACAUCAGUGAGAAACUUAACCAAAACUCUCCUCCUUUCUUUACUGCUUAAUGCUGCAGGAACAGAAGAUAAUGCAGUGUUUAAAGACAACACAAUAAGAGUGAAAACUCCUAA
Cygnus olor (mute swan) is the source of this 882-nucleotide long non-coding RNA. RefSeq lists it as uncharacterized. The record is from RefSeq and is a predicted model, not a curated record. Lineage: Eukaryota; Metazoa; Chordata; Aves; Anseriformes; Anatidae. The transcript is spliced from 2 exons.